This 2787-nucleotide long non-coding RNA is filed under the name Homo sapiens (human). Its description in RNAcentral is "non-protein coding TUG1:74". The stretch from base 1112 to 1348 matches the Rfam family "Taurine upregulated gene 1 conserved region 3". The record is from RNAcentral. Lineage: Eukaryota; Metazoa; Chordata; Mammalia; Primates; Hominidae.
UAAAAAUGUUUGAACAAUUGGAUUUCAAACAUUUUCGUUUUGUGGAGUGGUGCUCACCAAGUGGUACAGCCCUAAGCAAGUGAACACAAACACAUUUAAGUGUAUUUUGUCUGAUUAGAUGUUAGCCAGUUAUGCUAUUUCAUUCAAAUGUCUGAAAAAAUCAAUUGACUAUUCCCUUUUCCUAAAGGGCAGAGACAGAUAAUCUCACUUCCAGAGAAAUGACUUGGAGAAAAAAAAGUGUUGGUCUUUUUGCUCUUUUGUAAUUAAAUCCGGAUGUACCUCAAAAGACUUAAGACUGUGGUGAUAAGAUGCUUUCCUCAGCAGAAAGGAGGGAAAAAAAACAACUGGAACUCAAAGCUUGAAAUUCUGUGGCAAAACAUGAGAUGUCCAGGAUUGGAGGUUGAAAAGAUUUCACUACAGUGUUCUGCAAUAGUUGGAGCAGAUAACUUUCAGUGUAGCCACAGCCAUGGACUCCAGAUUUCCAGAUUUUCAAGACCUGGACCUGGAACCCGAAAGAGCUUGUCACGAUGCGGCAGGAACACUGGAGGUAGAUUUUUUUUUAUUUUUGAAUUUUGGGACUGUUGACCUUGCUGUGAGAAAAGAGACAACGACUGAGCAAGCACUACCACCAGCACUGUUACUGGGAAUUAGAAGACCUGAGUUUCUGUCCAGACCCUCAGUGCAAACUGAGGAUGCUCCAUCCAAAGUGAAUUAUGGUACUUGCCAUUUUCCAAAAUGCCUUAUCCUUUACCAUCUCUGCACUUUUGUUCAUACUCUCAUUCUACUUUGGAACUGCUGCUCUGUGGCUUUUCAUCUGUCAAAACUGCCAUUUUCUCAGUAUCCAACUCUUAUGCCCUCUUUUCCAUGAGUCUCCUAACUAGCCAGAAUAGAGCUUUAAAGUUUUAUGACAUUUCGUUAUGUAUCCUCUAUCUGUAUACAAAAUCCUGUAAAAUAGUUACUUGCCUGCAUUUACUGUCUUUGCAGAUAGCAGACUCCUUGAAAGCAGGGUCCUUGUUUAGUGCAUCUUUGCCCACAUACACCACAACAUAUCAAGAUGCAUUUAUUAGGAAGGAGGAGUUUAGAGAGCAGGCUAUCAGAAUAACCACUCAUCCUGUGCCUCCUGAUUGCUGAGUGUUCACCUGGACCUUCUGACUACCUUCCCUGUGCUAUUCCAUCAGCCUACAGACCUGGUACCUGGAUUUUUGCCCGAGAUGAUUCCUACCACCUUACUACUGACGAAGACACCCAUUCCAGUGGACCACUGUGACCCAGGAGGCAUUCAGCCAUCAUGAUGUGGCCUUUACCUCCACUCCUGUCUUGUUCUACCCAGAUUCAGCACAGCCCUUUAUAGUGAAGUCAGAGUCCUCAAGCCAAAUAGCUAAAGCUGUUUUAUCACAACAAAGGCCUAGUUUGUUCCAUGAGUGUGCAUUUCAUUUCUUCAGUUAAAGCCUUCAGAGACACACAAUAAAUUUGGACCAGGGGAUUUUUUAGUUAUUAAUGCUCUCUGAAGAAAGGCAACAUCUUUUUGAGAGCAGCAUUGGACCACACCCCACAAUCUCAAAUGAUUGAAAUUCAUGAACAUCUAGGAUCCCGUGAAGGUCACUGGACCCUGUUUUUUCUACUUCAAAUCCUGUAGUAGCCUACUGAAUGAGAAAACAUAUUCUGACCCAUUGGGAUCAAAUCAAAGGCACAGUGAACUCCUCAUAGCAUCUUCUUUGGAAUUACUCAGGAACCAGAACUUUUUACACAAAUGUAAGAAAUUCUACCAAGGAGUCCCCUUACCUAACAGCAUCUCACAAGGCUGCACCAGAUUCCAGAAAAGGCUUCUCUUGAUACAUCAAGCAUUUUGUGACCGACUUAUUCUUAGAUCAUUGGUUUUCCAAAGGCUUUGUGGCCAUGAAGCCCUUUGAGUGAAAACUGUGCAGAAGCCCAGAGUAAAAGUGAAGCUGCUCUGGAUGAAGUAGUGAAGCAAGAGUAGGGGCCUGAAUCCUGCUACAACUAUCUUCCUUUACCACCGUGGUGACACCUAAGGGGACUUCCUUACAACACCUUGAACUCUUCCGAACACAGUUUGAAAACCACUGCCCCAGACAGCAAUAUGUUUGACCUGAAUGGCAUUCCAAUCUUUUCUGUACCUCCACUCAGCACAGUUCAUGUUCAGUAGAUGCUGAACAUUCUUAGAAAUACUGUGUGUGAACUUAGAAAAGUGCAAGAAGACAGGCAUGUCUUUGACCCCAGGAAUGAUCAUUUGCUGAAGAUGGUGUCAAGUGAACCUAGAUUAACAGCCCUCCACUCCAGAUGGAUAUCCAGUGAUUCCUAGAAUGGGAUAUAGCCAGAGAACAAUUCUAUGCACCCUACACUGACAGACUCCCUUAAGCAACACCAGAUGCUCUACUGGUACUUGAAGUACAUGACUUUGAAGUCUUGACCCUCCAUGAAUACCUGAAUUAUCAGCAAGCGGGUUUUGAAGCUGGUGCCUCAUUGAGGCCAUAUUAGAGCAACUUGUACAUUUGACCUCUUGUUAUCAGCCAUGGUACUCUACUUCGUGUGCAAGAGAUAACUAUGAAAGCCAAAUUCAAAUACUGGCAACAUUUCCUAAAGGGGCUCAAUAUCUAUCAUUCGUCUUCUUUUCCAAACUACACAUCACUGUAUGACUCAACCAGUAGCAGUUAUAUUGCCCCUUGGUUUUUAUUCAGUUUAACUACUGUUUCCAAGAUAAAUGAGCUAAUAAGCUUUAAAAAAAAAAAAAAAAAAGGCUGAAUUCUUUUUUCUUCAUCACUGGCAUAU